This 302-nucleotide unclassified non-coding RNA is filed under the name Hevea brasiliensis (rubber tree). The record is from RNAcentral. Lineage: Eukaryota; Viridiplantae; Streptophyta; Magnoliopsida; Malpighiales; Euphorbiaceae.
GAAUGGAAUCACUGAGCCGAACGAGUGAAUUGAGAGCCUGUGAUCGGACGAUGGAGGUUGACUCAAAAGAGAAGAUGGAUUCUAUCUCCACCCAGUUUUCAGAUAUUGCGGUGUACAUAUCGAGCACACGAAACAUUUUCUCCGUUGACGAUUUCUUUGUUUUGACUAAAACUUCAGGAAUUCCAAAGAGAAGAAUAGCUCCUUCUCUGGAUAUUUCACUGAAACAAGACUCCCUGAUGGAAUCGGAAAUCGAGAAAACGUGAUCACAAAGAAUUCUCUCUCCGUUGAAGAGAGUUCUCAAG